ACGUAGGGCGCAAGCGUUAUCCGGAAUUAUUGGGCGUAAAGAGCUCGUAGGCGGUUUGUCGCGUCUGCCGUGAAAGUCCGGGGCUCAACUCCGGAUCUGCGGUGGGUACGGGCAGACUAGAGUGAUGUAGGGGAGACUGGAAUUCCUGGUGUAGCGGUGAAAUGCGCAGAUAUCAGGAGGAACACCAAUAGCGAAGGCAGCUCGCUGGGACGUUACUGACACUGAGAUGCGAAAGCGUGGGGAGCAAACAGGA
This 253-nucleotide ribosomal RNA is filed under the name uncultured prokaryote. RNAcentral's name for it is "partial 16S ribosomal RNA". It matches the Rfam family "Bacterial small subunit ribosomal RNA", at positions 525 to 777 of the family's 1533-position model. The record is from RNAcentral.